GGGCGAUUAGCUCAGUUGGAGAGCACCUCCUUACAAGGAGGGGGUCACUGUUCUAGUUUUCGCUCA
Molecule: transfer RNA, 66 nt
Filed under: Haemophilus influenzae
Lineage: Bacteria; Pseudomonadati; Pseudomonadota; Gammaproteobacteria; Pasteurellales; Pasteurellaceae
Description: tRNA-OTHER
Source: RNAcentral